UAAUUUAUGAUUUGUUCUUCCCUUUUAGAUAUCUAGGGUUUAACAAAUUCUCUCACGUACUUCAUACUUGAUCUUCAAGCUCCUCAAAAAUUUUCAAUCGUUUCUGCGUUUCGAAACUUCAAAGCCAUGGCUCGUAACGAAGAGAAAGCUCAAUCGAUGCUGAAUCGAUUCAUCACCAUGAAAGAGCAGGAGAAGAAGAAACCGAAGGAGCGGCGUCCGUACCUCGCAUCCGAGUGCCGAGACUUGGCGGAAGCGGACAAAUGGCGCCAGCAGAUCCUGCGUGAGAUCGGCCGGAAGGUUGCUGAGAUCCAGAACGAAGGUCUCGGGGAGCACCGGCUUCGCGACCUCAAUGACGAGGUUAAUAAGCUCAUACGUGAGAAGUCGCACUGGGAGCGUCGCAUUGUCGAGCUCGGCGGUCCUAACUACACCAAACUCUCAGCUAAGAUGACGGAUCUAGAGGGCAACAUUGUCGACGUCCCUAACCCCAGUGGUCGUGGUCCCGGUUACCGGUACUUUGGAGCCGCUAAGAAACUCCCUGGUGUAAGAGAAUUGUUUGAGAAACCACCGGAGUUGCGUAAAAGAAGGACGAGAUACGAUAUUUAUAAGAGGAUUGAUGCUAGUUAUUACGGGUACAGAGACGAUGAGGAUGGAGUUCUCAAAAAAGUGGAGAAGCCAGCGGAGGAAAAGAUGAGGAAGGAAGCUGUGGAGGAGUGGCGGAGGAUGGAGGAGAUAAGGAAGGAGGCGAGGAAGGGAGUGAGUGAGGUGGUGACUGUGGGGCCUGCAGUGACGGAGCUGUUGGUAGAGGAGGAAGAAGACGUGGUGGAGGAGGAAAGGAUGAGGGAGAGGGAGGAGAAUGAGAGAAGAGAUAAGGAAAAGGAGUUUGUGGCACACGUGCCACUGCCAGACGAGAAGGAGAUUGAAAGAAUGGUGGUGGGGAAGAAGAAGAUGGAACUUCUGAGCAAGUAUGCUAGCGAGGAUUUGUUGGAGGAGCAGAGCGAGGCCAAGGCAAUGCUCAAUAUUCAGCGCUAAAAGGUGGAUUAUUGGUUCAUAGGUCACACACACGUUAAGCCAUGUCUGAGAGGCAUGAAGGCCACCACAACGGAUGGAAAACUAUCCAAAUCUCAAACCCCCCUGGUGAGAAUAGAACCCUGGACCUCAAGGUCUUGAGUAGAUAACCAAACCAACCAGGCUAUCUCCCAUUCUCUUAUGGUUACAUUUUGGUUUCGUGGUGAUUGCAAGGAUGCGAAAUUGGGGACUGGCUUUUUCUACAUCCUCUAUCGGAAUGAGAACGAACCGUUGCGGUCUCUUGCAUCAAAUUGUUGUCCCAGUUGCUCAAUAGCUCCACCAGGGUAAUUCACUUGGCACAGUUGGGUUUAAUGUUGUCAUCCAUUUUUCUUCAUGCCAAAUGUUCAUGUAGAAUGAGAAGUUGACAACUUGACAUCCUUAUGUAAAUAUGACACGAGACAAGGAGACUAAUAUUGAAAGCUUGUAUCAUUUGAUAUUGCUAUAAUAUGGCUUCCGGUCAAUGUUACCAGA
Molecule: RNA transcript, 1536 nt
Organism: Tripterygium wilfordii
Lineage: Eukaryota; Viridiplantae; Streptophyta; Magnoliopsida; Celastrales; Celastraceae
Gene name: pre-mRNA-splicing factor ISY1 homolog
Exons: 3
Source: RefSeq, a predicted model, not a curated record